UCCACAGGAAGACCAACAGCGUCAACUAGCCAGGACCCUUGGGGCUCUCAGAGUCUGAUCCGCCAACCAAAGAACUUACACGGGCUGGACCUAGGCCCCCUGCACAUAUGUAGCUUGGUCUUCAUGUGGGUCCUGAACAACUGGAGCAGGGCUGUCCCAAAAGCUGUUGACUGCACAUGCGAUAUGUUCUUCUAGCUGGGCUGCCUUGUCAGCUGGAGAGGAAGCAACUAGCCUCCAAGAGACUUGAAGUGCCAGCUCUGUCAGUCUCCCUUGGGGAAAAUGAUGUUCAUGGUCUUUCCCUUCGUGGAGUAGUCAAAGGUUGUAUAUUCUAAGUACAGGAAAGAAAGCUUUCAGGGCUUCUUCAAGAGCAAUGACAACAGGCAGUAAGGCCGGAGUUCACCUCCAUACAGAGCCAGGCUGCAGCCACGUGAGAGUCCCCAGCAAAGCCCAGGCUACUGGACCAAGGACAUGCUGUUGUGGAAGAGAGACUCUGUAUUUGUGAUAAUAGGAAAGAAGAAAAGGCUUUGGAUCCCUUCCACGGUGAUAUGGAUCAGAUAUGACAGGGGAAGACCCCUUGGAGAUACUGGCUACAGAAAAGAAAAAUUCAAAAACAUCAAAAGUGACAGCUAACUUGAUUUGCUUGAUUCCUACACUUGGGAACAGCCCUGUAACUGAAUUAGACAUAAAAAUGUCUCUAGCCAAAACUUCAGCUAAAAUUAGAUAAUAAAUCCCGUUGGUUAUGGAAUCCUUCAUCGUGCCAUCCUUCACAUGGCACGAAGGAUGAUUCAUUACAAUUGGUCAUUGACCAAAUUAACUCAUAAAGGGAUAGUUGUCUUGAACCUCCCAAACAAGGAGCAAAAAUUCAUCCUUGCAUAAUCCAUUCGAAUAUCUUAAUAGCACUAAAAUUUUGGUUGUAAGAUCCAUAUAUUACAGAAUGUACACCUCUGACAAAAUUCAUCCACCAGAACACUAAAAUGACCUGCUGCUCCAGAUUCCUGCCUCCCAAAACAGUACCAGGAAUAGCUGCAGAUUCCUGAUAACCUCGGUUCAUCCAGCUUUGCAGAAAGAGCCAGUCAGAACUUCAGUCAAAUCCUGAGCCUUCUAAGCAUACAGAGACUGGAUAACUGGCUAACAGAUGCUAAAGCUAGCUUUCUUAAGUACUACCAAUUUUUCUAAUUUUCCUACUCCUCUGCACCACGUUAAAAAAUAUUUGUCACCCCUAUUCAGCAGGAAAAAGUUGAGGAAAGUCAUCAUCCUGAUCCCUUGGGUUUGGGUGUCUGGUUAUGAUUAUUUUAUAAAUUAUAGACAGGUUGUCGUUUUAAGGCAUAAUUUGGAAAUGGUCAUAAUUUUGAACAGGAGAAAAUAGAUGGGACAGAUUACUAAAUUUAUUCUUGAACAAAACAUUAUAUAGCCAUAACCUUACAUUGAUAGAAAUAUUUAUAAUUGAUGCAAAAUUGAAGUUAUAAUUUCUUACAUUAGUACAGAAUUCAUAUAUUGAUACAUAUUUAAGAUUUUCUUUGGUGUAAAACUUUGUAUAUUGAUACAAAAUUUAAAAUUAAUUUUGUUACUCUUAGAUAGGCAUUGUGCCUAUGCAACUCAUUUAAGAACACAAGGCCUUGGCCAUUCACUAUUACAAACCAUUUAGGAUGAUUGAGUAACACAAGUUAGGGGCCAGAUAGUAAACUCAUGGUUAUAUCAGAUUCUAAUUUAAUUAUAAUAAAGUGUUUUCAAUACUAUUCAAAUAGAAAUAGCUUACAGCAGUCAAGGUUUAACUGUUCAGAUAUACUUGAUAGUCUUCAAAAACAUCAGAAAUCCACAGAAUAUAGCAUUUAUAAUCAUUUCAUUAUUACUAGGUUUUUGACUAAAAGACACAUCAGCUCCUGCGGUACCCCCUUCAUGGUUCAAAGAAGACACUGAGUAUCAUAGCCUCCAUAUGGAGUUGCUCCAGUUGUGGCAAGGGAGCCACUGGGCAAGAAUUGCCCUAAUUCAUCCAUAGACAAAAAUACAGUCUAGGAAAGAACAAAUGAUGCAAGAUAGUGGAUAGCUUAGCCCUUCUAAGGCAGGGUAAGCUAGUCCCUCAUAGUUCUUGCUUCACUUAAGCUCUAAAAGAUGGUUCUGGGACAGAAGACUGAAGACAGAUGUUCCUAUGUUCUGAGGAAUAGGGGAUUGUUCAGGUAAUCAGCUGCCUCUACAAAUUGGUUAAGUUUUGGAAGCUAUGUUUUUGAACUUCCUAUACAGAUAAUAUUUAAUUCAUUCUCAGAUCUCUGACAAUAUGAUGACUCUCAAUUUGUCUCAUAAUAAGACUUAAGUUGUUUAGCAUUGAGGGAGAUGAUGUAGAUUUGAAAGGAUGAUUUUCAGAUGGUAAUAUAAGUUAAAAUCAGAACAUAAUUCAGGGAUAGGCUUGUAAACUCUUUAAGUUAGGAUAAAUGUUAGAAUAAUGUACCUACAUUGACAAAAUUGAUGGACUGGACGUUACUAGUGUAUAUCAUAUCUUAUUGUUUACAUAACUGCUAUGACUGUGUUCAGUGUAUAUCUGAGAGAAGGGGUCUUUUUAAUGGGUGUUGGUUUAUUGCUUAUACUAUGUUAAUUGAUUUCCCAAAUUACAAGAGAAUUUGCACAGCUGUGUGUGAGACCCUGACAGUCCUUGCCCCCAGCUGGUUCUAAUUGGUAAGUUAAGUUGCUGUUGGCCAAUGGUUGAACAGGGAGAUGGAGGCAGGACUUUGAGGUUCCUGGGCAAGGAAUGCAAGGGAGGAGGAAAGUUGCCAUGCCAGGGAAGGAGUAGGAUGCAAGCAUGAGAGCUGCAGAAGACAGAGGACCAGCCAUGUGAAAAUUGAGAAAGAGCAGCCCCAGAGGCCACACCCUCUAUUGGGUCUGGGGUAGCAGAGAUGAAAUAUAGAUUUCAGUAAGUAAUAAUUCAGGAAUAUCAGAGGGGAGGUGUUAGCAACUCAGAAGUUUGUGAGUGGCCCUGCCACUGGGCUGCUUAGGGCAUAUUAAAAAUAAAACGCUCUCCCUCUCUCUCUCUCUCUCUCUCUCUCUCUCUGUGUGUGUGUGUGUGUGUGUGUGUGUGUGUGUGUGUGUGUGUGCGUGUGUGUGUGUGUCUUUCAUUGUGAAUCCAAAAAACUUGGGUGGGUAGCAAUGAGCACUCACACACCCACAGUGGAGUUUAGAGCAGAUUAACAUACUACCACUUCCAUCACCAGGCAAUGACCUUCAUUCCUCCCAUUUAUAUUCCUACUUCUCUCUGUCCCCAUGUAGUCACUGAUGGCUUUGCCAUUUAAUGUAACUACAUCCCCUCUCAUUCAUGUCCCUCUAAGCGAGAAUAAGAUGGCCUUUCCCAGGAUUCCUGGUAAGCAUAUUCCUGGUUUGCAUGUCAUUGGCUUAUUUCUGAACUAAUCAUUGAGACCAAAAGAAUUGAUCAUAAAACACUGCAGCAGCAACAGUGUUCCAUAAUAGCUUCCCCUUCCCUAAGGGAGCUCACUUCUGUCUACUUAGAAAACUUUGCACUGGAGCGAGGGACAAUGUGGAUAUUUCAAGCAUAUCUACAUUGAGGUUAAUACUCAAGAGCCCAAAGUGCUCUCUAGUUUCAUACUAGAAAAGGUGGUCACAAAAGAACCAAACAGUAAACGUGGUUAUGCUCCAUGUCUGCUCACAGGGGUGGGCGGCACUCAGGACUGUCCAGUGUACUCAUGUUUCUCAUUGGAAUGGAUAUACUUGGAGGUAAGCAGAAUGGAAUGCUUUCAUUGGUUCCUUAAUCUGUGGAGUAUGUUACUUAGGGAGAAAGGCCAAAUAGAAUUCUCUGAAACUGCCCAAGUUCCUAACAGUGGGAGUGCAUGAGCACUAUGACUGCUUCAUGGGGAAAUGACACAGAUUGGUGUUGACCUGAAAAACUAUUCUAAUGUAAAGCUUAGUCAUAGCCCCAUCCACUUUGACCUUGGCAAAAACAAACAAACAAAAAACAAGCAAAAAGAUGAAACAUGGCAGAUGACAGUAGACUAUCACUACACUCAGUCAAGUCAUCUGUUAGAGCAGACUGGCCUGGCCUCCAUGGUACAUAACCAAGGCUGCAUUGGUAUUCAUUCCUAUCAUGAAGAAAAUGCAUAGCUCACAUGCACAGGAUAGAAAAUUCAACACAGUUGCAGUCUCACUCCAGGGCUGUGCCAAACUGCUUGCCUCCUGGCAUUGUUGGCUGCUUCUCUCCAUGCUGUGAUAAAACCCGACAGAAGCAAUUUAAAGGAAGAGAGCUUUGUUUUGGCUCACGGUUUUGUAGAGAACAGUCAGUCCAUCUUGGUGGAAAAGGCAUGAUGGGCAGAACAGUGUGUUCAGUAGUAACAGGAGCUUUUGGCACAAUUUGGUUAUAUCUUGAUGGAUCUGGAAAUGAAAAUUUCCAGCCAACACCAGGAGCAGAUGUCAGUUUCCAAGCCUGUUUUGAACUCUGUGACCUACUUCUGCUAACAAAGCCACAUAUCCCAAGGGCUUCACAACCUUCCAAAACAGUGGCGCCAGCUGGGGACCAAAUGUUGAAACACAUGCAUGUGUGGAGAACACUUCAGACUCAAAUUAUAGUAGGUGGUAUGGUAUGGUAUGGUAUGGUAUGGUAUGGUAUGGUAUGGUAUGGUAUGGAAUAAUAUGGUAUAGUAUAGUAUAGUAUAGUAUAGUAUAGUAUAGUAUAGUAUAGUAUAGUAUAGUGGCACCCAGACUGUUGAGAUGUUCUAAAAAACACAAGUAAGGUCUCCUGUAUCAGUGUCAUAAUACUUAAAACUGAUGAUCAAGAGUUGAAAGUACAGCAUGCUAAGAUGUAUAAAUUUUGAAGGAUGAAAGUCAAAACCUAAAGAGAUACAGGAGGCAUGUGUCCAGAGAGUAUAGAUUGUUCCAGGGCAUGCUAGAAUAUCCCCUUCUGUAGGAAUGUUUGCAUUUUACACUUCUCACUACUAAGACGUAAUCAUACUUGGUAUGGUUUUACAAAGUCUGAUAGAGAUUGCCUACAAUGGAACAGAGACCAAAAACCGAUGUGACAGUCCGCUGGCUAUGAUAUACGGUGACGACAGAACAGUGGCUAUAUGUAGAACCAACAGCAUGGACUUACAUUCACUAAAAUGGUUUACCUACUGCCACUGAUACACUCUGCCAACCCCAAAGACAAUUUCCCUGAUAUGGCACCAUCCUUGAGGGAAACCAGAUGACCAGAUCUUUCCACCUAAAGGCAGAAAUGUAUCCCAUAUAAAACAAGAGACGUUUUAAUGUAAGUUUGCCCUUCCCACUUUAGGACUUUAGCCAGGAUCACCAAUCAAAUACUUACAGUGCUUGACUCUUCUAUACUGAAUACUGUCAGGUCCAAAAGAAAACUCAGAACAAAUGACUAACAGUGGUGCUUAUUAGCAUACCAAAGCACAUGUUAGCCUCCAGCCUCACUCAGUAACUGUGGCCCUUCUCAGCUCCUCUCACCUCUUUUCACCCUUCCCCCUACUCUAAACUUCUCCAGCCCAUGGGUUUCUCUUUCCCCAUCUUCUCAUUCCUGUAUAAGCUUGCCAUUUUGACCAUACACUCUCUUGUUUUUGUUCUCUCUAGGCUCUCUUCCUCUUGCCCCUCUCUCUUGGUCCUCUGUCUCGCUUUCCAUGCACCCCUCUCCUUUAUUGCCCAGACCAUUCUGUCCACGUUAGUCUUCUACUUUCCCUACCUCUCUAGACUUUUCCAGGUGCCUCAGGCUGUUCCCUCCCUCCUGCUUACAAUAAAAACCUUCAACCAUACCUUGAAGCAGUCAUGGCCUCACUUUACAUAUCUGGUGUCAAAACACCCACAUAGCAUUGUCUCCUUAUGAAAAGCCCACCCUCUGAGAAUGGGAUGAACCACCCUGCCUCUAUUUUAGGUGUAAAAGUCAUCUUACAAUAAAGACAAACUCGGCUCAUUUCAGUUUAUGAUUAAACCUGUUUUUGAAGGACUGGCUUAUAUCUCACCUUAACUACAAAUGGUUCUGUAUUGCCUUUUCCAGGAAAUGGUAAUGGCAUCUUUGUUCCAAAAACCGUAAUGAGUGUCUUGUAACCCUACCUUUGCUUCAAAAAGUUAUAAUGAUUACCUUGUUUUGACCACAUCUUAUGUCCUGUUUCUGUAACUGCCUAUUUUGCUUACCAAAUCCCCCAUUUUGACUAUCCUGAGUCAUAAAAACCUUGUCUACCUCAUAUCCAAAGCUGACCUCUUGAUUCCCACAUUAGGGGGAGGCAGCCUAUGUACUUAUUAGCUUGGCCAUGAUGAUUUGGGUCAGUAGUUUUUUUCCUUGCAUCUUUGGGAUUAACAUAUGGAGGCCCCAGCAAUAUCAAGACCCCAGUCCAAAUUCAGAAAUUCAGAAGCUGGACCCUUCCCUCUGGUCCUCCCAAACUGAAGAGCUGCUCGCUAGGGGGUGCAUACUUUGAAGACAUUCCAAGGUCCUGAGACAUCCCUUCAAUUCAUCAACCCCCUAAGCAAACAAGUGUAUCAAAAAAAGAAAAACAAGAAGCAUCUUUUUUUUCCAUUUUUUUAAAAAAGGCCUCUCCUGGUAAGUCAUAGGAACAUUUUUAACUUUGUUUUUGUGACAUCUGGUUCUGUUCUGAAUUUGUGGGAUCUUUCUCUGGGAAAGUGGGAAGAGCUGAUGAGAUUCAAUAUUCCUAGAUGCAGGGCAUCAAGGGAGAUGUCACACAGCCCGUUUUGUUAUCUCUGGUUACUUGGGAGUUUGGCCAGAGCUACCAAUUCCUUUUAUGACCGGCACUGGGAGACUGGGGUCUGAGAAAUCAGAGAGGCCUAACUUCUGAGUGCCCAUUGACAGGGUUUCAAUGCCUAGGGUGCACAGAAACCCUGAGGACCAUCUGUGAUACUGGGUGCCAAGAGAUUGGACAAGUUCAGCAUAGAAUGUCAGGUGUUACAGGGUAUUGAGACAGAAAUUAGAGAGGCCAGCCUAACUGAAUCACAGAAACUGAGACUUAGGAAUCCUCUGGUGGGAUCUCAACACUUGGGUUAUGCUAAAAACAUCUCUGUCCAAUUUAUAUACCCAGCCUUCUGUACAGAAAAAAAACAAUGUUCAUGCUUUUUAACUGAAAGCCAUGAUUCUACCCCAGCUCUUUUACAAACAUCUGCUGGCUGCUGCUCUUUUCUACAAUAUGGACUUUGAUGCAAAUUACAAACAAGCUUCAAGGAGUCAAGAAAGUCAGAAUAAGACUAAAAUCUACCUUUCCUAAUCUAACAGACUCCAGGCUAAAAGACCUACAGGUGAUACAGAAAGAAGUCUGGUCACAGCUGGCAGCAGCCUAUGCCCCGGGGACCCCCAAGACAUCUCAUCAGUUCCAGGUCGGAGACUCGGCUACAUACAAUGGCACCGAACCCAGAUACUCGAGCCUCACUGGAAAGGACCAUACCUGGUGCUGCUGACCACCCUGACAGCCAUCAAUUCUCAGCCCUCACCAGCCGUGUACUAGCUGUUGGGGCUGAGAGCUGGGACCUAGAGGGACACUCAGCAUGUUUGCCCUGGGUUCCAUCGAGAUAGGUAUAGAGAUAGGCUUGAUUUCUAUUACAAAUGAUGUAACAUUGCAUAUGUUAGUACUCCUAACACUUCUUGGGACUGUGCCUCAGGGAUCACAAUCUGUAUAAGUUUAGAAGUUCUAAAAGCUAGUCAUGACCUUGGUGUGUAGGUUUAGAUAGUGUCCAGAUUGGAAUCCUGAUGCUAAAGACUUAGUAAGAAAAAAAAAGGAGUUGAGAAUUACUUAAGGCUAUCUAGGUGCUGCAAGGGCAGCACAAGGACAUCUGCCAUUGCCCUGCAAUGCAAGGCUUAUAGAGAAUUCAGAACUGCCAUUGACUUAGAUAUAAAAAGAGUGAAAGACUUUUUAGCUGACCUCCAAGAAUACCUAACCUCCCUCUCAGAGGUAGUCCUUCAGAAUAGGAGAAGAUUAGACCUGAUAUUCCUUAAAGAAGGAGCCUGUGUGCUACACUGAAAGAAAAAUGUUGCUUCUAUGCAGACCAUUCAGGAGUAAUUAAAGACUCCAUGAAUAAACUUAGAGAAAGGUUAGACAAAAGACAGAGAAGCGCAUCAGGGAUGGUUCGAGAGCUGGUUUAGUAGAUCUCCUUGGAUGACUACUCUGAUAUAUUCCCUUAUGGGACCCUUCUUAGUUUUGCUUCUGCUUCUGAUUAUAGGUCCAUGUGUGUUAAAGAAACUAGUUAAUAGGUUUGACUCCUACAAAAAGAUAGAGAUGCUCAACAAGGUUGGUUUGAGUCUUGGUUCACUCGGUCUCCCUGGAUGACUACCCUACUCUCUGCUAUAGCUGGGCCAUUGCUAAUAAUUUUCUUGGUUUUAGUUUUUGGCCCCUGCGUGACAAACAGGUUAAUUGCUUUUGUUAAAAAAUUGAGUGGGUGCUGUGCGGUUAAUGGUUCUGAGACAACAGUACCAGUCAGUUAGGACAACUGGUGAAACCAAAUAUGAGAUUUUAUAUCAAAAUUCUAAGAUUAGAAUUACUUAGUAGAAGAAGAGGGGAAUGAAAGGAAAAUUAUACAGAUUUAAGGUUUAAAAAUAUGAAGUUAAAAGAAUAAGUUUCAAAAUUCAGACUCAGGGCUAAACACUGUGAAAAGCAAGUCCAGGCAGCCCCGCCCUGCCGCUAGGACUAACAGACCAUAAAGAUAAAGAAAAGGAAUGCAGGAACCAGCCCGAGUUAUCAGGACUGACUCUAACCAUCUGGCAGAAAGGCACCUCCCCCAGCUUACUCAGAGUCACACCUUAACCAGAUGUCCUUCAAACCCUAAUACACCCCUAGCUUCUAAAAUCCUGAACGCCCUAGUCAAUACGUACUCUCCUGCUGUGCUGUAAUCUCACUGCCAUGUUUAAAUGAGCCAAUCACUUAUAGCCGAACCAGAAAUUAACCAAUUGUGUGUAACCGCGCCAAACCCCCUAGCCUUCCCUAUAUAAACCCCUGACUUUUGAGCUUCGGGGUCGAUACCUCUGUCUCCUGCGCAGGAUACGUGUUGACCCGGAGAUCCCCGUAAUAGAUCUCCGUAAUAAACCUCGCCUUUGCUUAUUACAAAAAAAAGAAAGAAAGAAAGAAAAAAGAAAUGCUAUCAUAAGAGACUUGGGUGCCCCCGAAGUCAAUACCCACUAUGUUGUACUAAAUUCCCAAUAGGUAGAAUGCCUAUGGGACAGGAGACCAAAAGAUAGAGGUAGGAGUGGCCUUUUAAUCAGCAUUCCCCAAAACAUGUUUAAUCAGAGUCCUAUAAAAGCCAUUUCCAGGCAGGCAAACUUGUUCCACGGUUCAAGUCAAGGAAGAUAUAGUGUGGCAGUAGAGGGCUUGCCUAUCAUCCAUGAGGAUAUGUGUCCAACUCCCAGUACAGGAAAGAGGGUGGGACAGCGGGGAUGGGGGAAGGAAUCACAUCAGCCUAAAAAAUGCAGGGAAUCUACAGAAAUCCAUGCAGACCUCUUUGGGCUCACUAACAGCCCAUGACUGUGUCUCUUACGAAUACUUUCCCGGCCUCAGAAUUAAGCCUUGUGCAAGCUUCUGCCCCUUUCCAGACAGCAGCCUAUAGUAACAAUUAAUUGAUUUUAAAGCCAAACCUCUUUGCAUCUAGGUAAGACAGUUGAGUUUCCCCACAUCCAUGGCACCUCAUAGAAUGAAUUAAAGCCUCAGAUGCUGCAUGU
Molecule: non-coding RNA, 9640 nt
Organism: Rattus norvegicus (Norway rat)
Lineage: Eukaryota; Metazoa; Chordata; Mammalia; Rodentia; Muridae
Source: RefSeq, a predicted model, not a curated record